Molecule: ribosomal RNA, 292 nt
Filed under: uncultured bacterium
Lineage: Bacteria
Description: partial 16S ribosomal RNA
Rfam family: Bacterial small subunit ribosomal RNA
Source: RNAcentral
GUGCCAGCCGCCGCGGUAAAACGUAGGACGCGAGCGUUAUCCGGAGUUACUGGGCGUAAAGGGCAGGUAGGCGGUGAGCUAAGAUGGCUGUGAAAUCUCCUGGCUCAACUGGGAGGGUGCAGUUGUGACUGGCUCACUGGAGGGCGGCAGAGGAGCGUGGAAUUCCGGGUGGAGUGGUGAAAUGCGUAGAGAUCCGGAGGAACACCAGAGGCGAAAGCGGGGCUCUGGGCCGCACCUGACGCUGAACUGCGAAAGCCAGGGGAGCGAACGGGAUUAGAUACCCCGGUAGUCC